Molecule: transfer RNA, 87 nt
Filed under: Zavarzinia compransoris
Lineage: Bacteria; Pseudomonadati; Pseudomonadota; Alphaproteobacteria; Rhodospirillales; Zavarziniaceae
Also listed under: 1 other name
Description: tRNA-Leu
Rfam family: tRNA
About the family: Transfer RNA (tRNA) molecules are approximately 80 nucleotides in length. Their secondary structure includes four short double-helical elements and three loops (D, anti-codon, and T loops).
Source: RNAcentral
GCCCAGGUGGCGGAAUUGGUAGACGCGCUAGUUUCAGGUACUAGUGCCCGUAAGGGCGUGGAAGUUCGAGUCUUCUCCUGGGCACCA